AAGUCGUAACAAGGUUUCCGUAGGUGAACCUGCGGAAGGAUCAUUACAGAGUUCAUGCCCGAGAGGGUAGACCUCCCACCCUUGUGUAUUAUUACUUUGUUGCUUUGGCGAGCUGCCUUCGGGCCUUGUAUGCUCGCCAGAGAAGACCAAAACUCUUUGUAUUAAUGUCGUCUGAGUACUAUAUAAUAGUUAAAACUUUCAACAACGGAUCUCUUGGUUCUG
Molecule: unclassified non-coding RNA, 222 nt
Filed under: air metagenome
Description: partial contains small subunit ribosomal RNA, internal transcribed spacer 1, and 5.8S ribosomal RNA
Rfam family: Eukaryotic small subunit ribosomal RNA (bases 1-46)
Source: RNAcentral